UAAAGUCAAAUUAAUUGGUUAAAACUAAUAAAUAGUUAUAAUAAAAGUACAACAACUCUACUUAUUGAAGUAAGAGUAAAAUCUUUACAAAUAAGAUAGAAAUGUGUUAAUGUAACAUUAAUCCUCUUACGAGGCGCUAGCAUAAAGACUAGGAUUAGAUACCCUAUUAUGGGCGUGAAUAAAUGAGUUUAUUAAGUUAAUAGCCUUAAUAUAAAGCAAAACCUAUUUACUAUGGCGGCUGUUAGUCUCACCAGAGUCGUAUGUCCUUAAACGAAACUGCGCGAUUAUCUUACCUUUUAACUUUUGCUUAUGUAAAAUAAUUACAUUACAGCAAUCUGGCACGUCGCUGUACUAAAAGUGAAGAUUUUAAAUAACUCAUCUUCUAAUUACUUAUUAACAUUUAUUAAUAACGUACAAGUCAAGACGCCGUUUUAAGAGGUUAAGAUGUACGAUUUAAUUGAUUUGAUAAAAUUGAUAAGAAUGAAAACUUUCUUUAUUAAAAUAAUUUGGAAGUAAAAUAAGGUUAUUAUUCUUAUUUGAAAUGAGCUACUAAUAAGU
This 558-nucleotide ribosomal RNA is filed under the name Pediculus humanus (human louse). Its description in RNAcentral is "partial 12S ribosomal RNA". The record is from RNAcentral. Lineage: Eukaryota; Metazoa; Arthropoda; Insecta; Psocodea; Pediculidae.